This 68-nucleotide non-coding RNA is filed under the name Microbacterium oxydans. The record is from RNAcentral. Lineage: Bacteria; Bacillati; Actinomycetota; Actinomycetes; Micrococcales; Microbacteriaceae.
CCCUGAUCGGCGUACACCGAUCCCGGACGAGGCAGGCCAGUACCCGGUGAGCGAAAAGACUGGUCCGA